AAGUAAGAAGCAAAGUUUGCAUUCAGUUUCGACCUGAUCUUUGAUAAGUAAGAUUAUCCUUACUUU
Molecule: transfer RNA, 66 nt
Filed under: Labiotermes sp. BRA008
Lineage: Eukaryota; Metazoa; Arthropoda; Insecta; Blattodea; Termitidae
Description: tRNA-Arg
Source: RNAcentral